AGCGCGGGAAGAUGGUGAGCGCGUUCUCUAUGGGGACUUGUAUCGAACAGUUUGCGGCACUUUUGAAGGGAAUGGCGUUCGAUUUCCGACCAGAACCAGCGUUAGGCGGCUAACGAUUACCUGCAAUACGCCGAGAUGUCUCUAUUUCAAAAGCCUAAGUUCCCGCCAAACAAAACUAGUUUGAUCAGUUCGUCGACGCUCUUCUCCGGUGGAACAAGGCAGAAGUCUCACAAAUGCAGAAAAGGCAAUUGAAAUGAUGGGUGCCUCCUUACCGGAAAUUUUCCCAGGUGUGUUUGUCUUGUAUAUCUACUGAUCUUCUUGCAAUGUCAUAAUCUCAUGUGUACAAUUAAAAAUGAACAGAUUUGUGUGUCCUUGAAGGUUGUUCUAAAGUAAACCAUAGUACAGAGGUCACUUCCUGAAAAGGAACUCCUACAUUUAACCUAUUGCUAGGUUGUUUUCUAGAAACUCCCACUUAGAUAUUCCAGUAUGCACUUAAACUACAAGCAACUUUCUGAAGCUGGCAAUUUCUGCUGCCUUAUCUAUAUGAACGUGAUGUCUACUCUAUCAGUAAGAUUUACCGUUGAAUAUUUGGAACUUACACGCCUUCCGGUGAAUUUUUAUUCCACUGAUUUUGUUUCUUGGCUUAGAUUUUUGUUUGCAGUCGGAAUCUUUGUUCUAGUGUUUGGUUUGACUGGAUUUGCUUUGAUCCUUAUAUAUGGGCUGUUAGUCUAAUUUGCAUGCGGAUCUUAAUAUGGUAAUCUUGUGGAAAAAACUUUUUCUCUAUCAAUAUUUUGAUUUACAGUUAUUUUCUCCACUACCAUACUGGAUAAUUUUAUUUAUAGUUUGAUACUUGAAGUAAUAUCACCUUAUGUUUCUCUAUCAAUAUCAAAUUCUUAGUAUUUGAUAAUUUUAUUUGUUAAUACUAACUUAGUAUUAACAAAUUCUUCAUCAACUUCCGCUUUGGUAUUUAGACGUUGAUUUUAUUUCUUCGACAUCCACUUAAGGACACGAGUGUUUGUUUCUUUUUCUCUCCCGCCACAUGUCUCCAUCAAGUUCAUCAAUUUCUCUAGUUAAAAAUGAAUGAAUUCCACGGAAGAAAAUAUAAAUGACUUAGCUUUUAGCGUGUCUACCAAAACUCCGUAAUAUUUUCUUACAUUACAUUUGGAGUACCAUAAAUAGACAUGACAAUGGUAAGUGUGUUCGUGGUUGAAUCAGAUUUUCUUUAGUUAGAUUUUGAAUAUAAGUACCUGGGUAGCAAUGGUUGAAGAAAAUUGCCGAAGAGCCUUGCGUAAAGGGGCGGGGAGGCCAGAGUAAAGGAAAGUGCAGGUGACUCAAAUAUUCUGAUGUGCGUGCGUGGAUUGGUGAAAAUCUUUCCCUUUUGCUAUUUUUCCUGUCUAUUUGUUUACUGAUUUAAUUUAUGCUUAGUGUCAACAUAAUUGAUACUUCAGGCAUUUAAAAGUUCAUCUAUCGCGUUGUUGUCUUUCCUCUAAAAAAUGAGUACUGUUGUUCAAAUUGAAAGUGGCUAAGUUAUACUGCUACUAGUGACCAUAUAUAUAUAUAUAUAUAUUUAGCGCUAUGUUGUUAUCAUGUGCCUUACCUUUUAGUAUGAGCUCUUAUUUUUCCUAGGAGUAUUAAAUAAACUGAGUUUUUGAAAAAUUGGUGACAGAAAGACGAUGAACCGUCUUAUUCAUUUAGAGAGUAUCUAAAAUAUAUUAUUAGAAAAUAUUGUGGUAUGUCCAAUCAUUUGCCAAUUGCCAUUUGCUUGCCAUAAUCCUUGUUAAGGCAUGGGGGGCGUUGCUUUAUGGAAUAUUUUAUUGGUAAGAACUUCUGAUUAUCCUAAAAGAUGGACGUUUUGUGAUUUUCCUCUUAGCUUUAAGCUGUAAAUUGAUUGCCAUCUAAUCACUGCUCUUAUGUCAAGGACAGGGGAAUAAACCUUGCUGAACCCAACCUGGAAAGAUUCGCCGGGAGGAAAAGGUGUCGCCAGAGUUCGUGACCGACUUUGCAUAAAACAAAUAAAGGGUGGAAAAGCAAAGGGAAUUAGGUUGGUGAGAAGAUAUUUCAGCAGUGGACCAUUGGGAUAUUUGGCGGCCACGUUUGCAUGGUACAAUAAUAACCCUUAUUAAUUUACCUUAUUUUAUGUUCCUUGCUUUGUUUGCCUUUAGAAAGUAGCAUUUGAUGUCUCAGCUCCUCUUUCAAUAAUUAAUCAUAUUAUAUAUGAAAUGCAGCAUCAGUCCUUCCCAUAGUCUUGCAUAUUCUGUGUUGCUAAAUUUUAAAGUUAGUUUGAUGUGAACAUUUGGCUUCAUUAACUGACAAAUUCUCUCUGAAAAUGUUGAGAAUUCUAAGAAGAAUUAGAUUUUUUAAUUAUUUGCAUGAAUGUGAGCAUUAGUAGUUUAAUUAUGGUCCAUACCCUAUAUUAUUUGUUUUUACCAAUAGAGCCCCCCACAAUCCAACUAAUUCUUGUUUGCAAAACAAUUUAUGAAUCCCCCCACUCCCACAAGAAAGGUAAAGUGUUGAAAAGAUAUUGCAAAAAAGGGAUCAUUUUAGCUUUUUCUCUCUUCUUUUGGCACUAAUUUUUUACUUUUAUUGCAUCCAAUUGUCUUUUGAUGAAUAUAUAUUACAAAUUAGGUGGCUGUUUGAUUGGAUUAUGGGUCGGUGUUUCUUGAGCAAGUUGCAUUUAUUCAUUCAUUUGAUAGAAUAUUAAUCAUGAUUAUUAUAGCAUUUAGUUGGGUAUUUAGCAUUUUAAUCUUCAGUUAUGCUCCCAUUAACUACUUCAAUUGAUUAGGGACCCAUUGAUUGAAUCUGAUUUCACUUUGAAUUUCAACUUUUUACUUCAAUUGAUUGGGGACCCAUUGAUUGAAUCUGAUUUCACUUUGAAUUUCAACUUUUUUAAAGUCUUUUGUUUUUAGAUAAUUGCAAUUUUUUAAAAGGGGUUUGUUUCUAGGUAAUUGCAACUGGAAGAUGGUGGAUUGUUUUUUUGGUUUUUUUAAUUUUAAUCUUUCUUUAAUUCUUUAAAACAAAAAUUAACCAAACACUCCUUAUUCCUUCACUUAACCAAACACUCCUUAUUCCUUCACUCCUGAACUACUCCUAAACAACUACUUCCUUCACCUUUUUGAAUUUUUUGCCUCUCCCUCCUCGUAUGGCUCUUUCUAAGAAUCAGACCAUAGCACUAAACAUCCGUCGUCGAAGAUAUUAUAUUCCUUUACAGGAAGGAGAGGAAAUGAAGUGAUUGAAUAAAGGAUAAUUCUGCUUUCGGCUGGUUCUUUUCUUGUUUGUUAUUAGAAGUUUUUGUUCGAGGCGGCCGACUUGUUGAAGCUUUGC
Cucurbita pepo subsp. pepo (vegetable marrow) is the source of this 3321-nucleotide non-coding RNA. The record is from RefSeq and is a predicted model, not a curated record. NCBI's taxonomy places the organism in Eukaryota, Viridiplantae, Streptophyta, Magnoliopsida, Cucurbitales, Cucurbitaceae.